UACGGGGGGGGCAAGCGUUGUUCGGAAUUACUGGGCGUAAAGGGCUCGUAGGUGGCCAACUAAGUCACACGUGAAAUCCCUCGGCUUAACCGGGGAACUGCGUGUGAUACUGGAUGGCUUGAGUUUGGGAGAGGGAUGCGGAAUUCCAGGUGUAGCGGUGAAAUGCGUAGAUAUCUGGAGGAACACCGGUGGCGAAGGCGGCAUCCUGGACCAAUACUGACGCUGAGGAGCGAAAGCGUGGGGAGCAAACAGG
RNAcentral lists this ribosomal RNA (253 nucleotides) under uncultured bacterium. Its description in RNAcentral is "partial 16S ribosomal RNA". It matches the Rfam family "Bacterial small subunit ribosomal RNA", at positions 524 to 776 of the family's 1533-position model. The record is from RNAcentral.